Molecule: unclassified non-coding RNA, 288 nt
Filed under: uncultured Clavicipitaceae
Lineage: Eukaryota; Fungi; Ascomycota; Sordariomycetes; Hypocreales; Clavicipitaceae
Description: sequence contains ITS2
Rfam family: 5.8S ribosomal RNA (bases 1-52)
Source: RNAcentral
AACGCACAUUGCGCCCGCCAGUAUUCUGGCGGGCAUGCCUGUUCGAGCGUCAUUUCAACCCUCAAGCCCCAGCGGUUUGGUGUUGGGGACCGGCGAGUACAGAGGCUCUGGGGACUUGUCCCCCUUCCCCUCGGCGCCGCCCCCGAAAUGAAUUGGCGGUCUCGUCGCGGCCUCCUCUGCGUAGUAGCACAACCUCGCAUCAGGAGCGCGGCGCGGCCACUGCCGUAAAACGCCCAACUUUUUUUAAGAGUUGACCUCGAAUCAGGUAGGAAUACCCGCUGAACUUAA